AACGAACGCUGGCGGCAGGCUUAACACAUGCAAGUCGCAGGGGAAGCAGCUCUUCGGGGCUGUGGAGACUGGCGCACGGGUGAGUAACGCGUGGGAAUUUGCCCUGGGUGGGGGAUAACCGCUGGAAACGGCGGCUAAUACCGCAUACGCCUUGAGAGGGAAAGCUUUCGAGUGCCCUGGGAGGAGCCCGCGUCCGAUUAGCUUGUUGGUGGGUAAAGGCCUACCAAGGCUACGAUCGGUAGCUGGUCUGAGAGGAUGAUCAGCCACACUGGGACUGAGACACGGCCCAGACUCCUACGGGAGGCAGCAGUGGGGAAUAUUGGACAAUGGGCGCAAGCCUGAUCCAGCCAUGCCGCGUGAGUGAAGAAGGCCUUAGGGUUGUAAAGCUCUUUCACCCGUGAAGAUGAUGACGGUAGCGGGAGAAGAAGCCCCGGCUAACUCCGUG
This 445-nucleotide ribosomal RNA is filed under the name uncultured bacterium. Its description in RNAcentral is "bacterial SSU rRNA". It matches the Rfam family "Bacterial small subunit ribosomal RNA", at positions 29 to 507 of the family's 1533-position model. The record is from RNAcentral.